Long non-coding RNA from Canis lupus familiaris (dog), 569 nucleotides. RefSeq lists it as uncharacterized. Lineage: Eukaryota; Metazoa; Chordata; Mammalia; Carnivora; Canidae. The transcript is spliced from 3 exons. The record is from RefSeq and is a predicted model, not a curated record.
CUGGCCGUCUGUGAUACCGCAGGCAGGAAUGCUGAAGCCGUUGCGAUUUCACAACGGUAGCUGACAGGCUAAGCCACCAGCUCAUCACCACCAAAUGACCGUGGUCAUCUCCCAGCAUCCUCUCUGCCCUCCCCCAAGACCCUCAGCCUGUCCUGUAUCCUGGACCUUCUUCUGGUCCCCCUGUGGACCUAUGGAGCCCUCCAUCCUCAGCAUUUUCCCACGCCGUCAGCUCCCCGCCUCAUCUGGGCCUCCCUGUGGAACAAGUCAGUUGAAAUCAGUUUCUUCUGUUAUCUGGAGAUUAAGGUGCUUUAUAUCACAGGAGUUUACAUGACUUUCUGGAAAAAACAGAAGCAUGGCGUGAAGGAACCGGGCUGAUCUAUCCGGGCUGCCAAGACUGUGAGCCCUUACACAAAACAGCAAGAGGAAAAACAACAUUCACUUUGCACAAAUUAUGCCCCUACCUUAAUCUUUGCAGCUAAUGAACAAAACACAGCCCAGCCAUACAUUUAUUUGGCUCCCUACUCCUUCCAUGCCUGAUGUGCUUUGCUCAUCUUGAGCUAUAAGUAAAU